AUACGGAGGGUGCAAGCGUUGUUCGGAAUCACUGGGCGUAAAGGGCGCGCAGGCGGGUUGGUAAGUCAGAUGUGAAAGCCCACGGCUCAACCGGGGAAGUGCAUUUGAAACUGCCAGACUUGAGUACCAGAGGGGAAAGUGGAAUUCCCGGUGUAGAGGUGAAAUUCGUAGAUAUCGGGAGGAAUACCGGUGGCGAAGGCGACUUUCUGGCUGGAUACUGACGCUGAGGCGCGAAAGCGUGGGGAGCAAACAGGAUUAGAUACCCUAGUAGUCC
Molecule: ribosomal RNA, 274 nt
Filed under: uncultured bacterium
Lineage: Bacteria
Description: partial 16S ribosomal RNA
Rfam family: Bacterial small subunit ribosomal RNA
Source: RNAcentral